RNAcentral lists this long non-coding RNA (918 nucleotides) under Homo sapiens (human). Its description in RNAcentral is "HSALNT0030014". The record is from RNAcentral. Lineage: Eukaryota; Metazoa; Chordata; Mammalia; Primates; Hominidae.
GGUGGGGCAUCCGGGUCUCUUGGUGGCUGCUUCUACCCCCGGAGCUCAGCUGAUCUUCCCUUCCAGACUACGAGGUGUGAAUUUCAAACUUCCGUAAUGGAGUUAGCCCACAGUUUAUUGCUAAAUGAAGAAGCUUUGGCUCAAAUCACCGAAGCAAAAAGACCAGUUUUCAUCUUUGAAUGGUUGCGAUUUCUUGAUAAAGUCUUGGUUGCUGCCAACAAGUGCAGUUUUCCCAGACCGCAACUGUGCCUGGACUCUUCUAGUCUGGACAUACAAUAUUUCACUCUUCCCAGAGAAUAAACUUUCAGUCUGCUUCCAUAAUGAAGAAGAGGAUUCUUUCUGCUUAUUAGACUCUCAACCAUUCCCUCUAUCUCAAGACCGAUGUAAAGGAAAAACAGAAAAAACUUGUUGAACAAUUAACUGGAUUAAUAAGUAGUUCACCUGGACCACCUACACGAAAAUUAUUAGCUAAAAAUCUCGCAGCCCUUUAUAGCAUUGGGGAUACUUUCACAGUUUUUCAGACACUUGAUAAAUGCAAUGACAUUAUCAGAAAUAAAGAUGACACUGCGGCCUACUUACCAACAAAAUUGGCUGCGGUGGCUUGUGUCGGAGCAUUUUAUGAAAAAAUGGGGAGAAUGUUGGGCAGCGCAUUUCCAGAAACGGUAAAUAAUCUAUUGAAAUCUCUGAAAAGUGCAGAGUCUCAAGGGCGAAGUGAAAUCUUAAUGAGUCUACAGAAAGUUCUAAGUGGACUGGGUGGUGCAGCAGCUUCCUCCCAUCGUGAUAUUUACAAGAAUGCCAGGUCUCUCUUGACUGAUAGGUCAAUGGCUGUUCGAUGUGCAGUGGCCAAGUGUCUACUAGAACUACAGAAUGAAGCUGUAUUUAUGUGGACUGCUGAACUAGAAAAUAUAGCCACUCUCU